GAGCGAGCUUGUAUGGAAUUGUUCUCAACAAUCUUCAAGAUGCAGAGAAACUGAAGAAAAAGAAGAAAAUCCUCCACGGCAAUUUCAUCAACCCAUGAACGCUAUGGAAAUAAAUGAAAUCAAGUUCGUCAAGCUUUUUAGGCUGAAUAAGCAGCUGGUGCUCCAAUUGAUAGAAAAGUUGACGCCCUAUCUUCAAGCAAUAUAGAAAUAUAUCUGAAAACAAUAUAGAAAUAGUAUUUGAGAAACCAGUUCAACUAUAAAUAGAUUUAAUUGAUCAUUAUAAGAAUAAAUGAAUGAAUACAGACAAA
Long non-coding RNA from Dendroctonus ponderosae (mountain pine beetle), 308 nucleotides. RefSeq lists it as uncharacterized. The transcript has 2 exons. The record is from RefSeq and is a predicted model, not a curated record. NCBI's taxonomy places the organism in Eukaryota, Metazoa, Arthropoda, Insecta, Coleoptera, Curculionidae.